AUACGGAGGGGGCUAGCGUUGUUCGGAUUUACUGGGCGUAAAGCGCGCGUAGGCGGUAUAUCAAGUUAGGCGUGAAAGCCCCGGGCUCAACCCGGGAACUGCGCUUAUUACUGAUAAACUAGAGUCCGGGAGAGGGUGGCGGAAUUCCCAGUGUAGAGGUGAAAUUCGUAGAUAUUAGGAAGAACACCAGUUGCGAAGGCGGCCACCUGGACCGGUACUGACGCUGAGGUGCGAAAGCGUGGGGAGCAAACAGGAUUAGAAACCCCGGUAGUCC
RNAcentral lists this ribosomal RNA (274 nucleotides) under uncultured bacterium. Its description in RNAcentral is "partial 16S ribosomal RNA". It matches the Rfam family "Bacterial small subunit ribosomal RNA", at positions 523 to 796 of the family's 1533-position model. The record is from RNAcentral.